RNAcentral lists this long non-coding RNA (1913 nucleotides) under Numida meleagris (helmeted guineafowl). RNAcentral's name for it is "lncRNA (ENSNMEG00000020155.1)". Lineage: Eukaryota; Metazoa; Chordata; Aves; Galliformes; Numididae. The record is from RNAcentral.
CCUAUCUCUACUCACUUAAUUGUCCACUUCAAUGGCCUGCAGAGGAAUGGUUUACCUCUAUGUAGGAUCUAAGAAGAAAAAAAUAUUAGGCCAUAAAUAAUGCUUUCAUACACCUUUUCAAAAAUUGUGAAUAAGCAACAGUACUCUUGACUGUUUCACUCCCUCCUUUCUCAUGUUUGGUAUCUGUACCCUGAUACGGCUAUGCUCAAAGGCAGCAGGAUGUUUCCAAACAAUUGCAUGUCCUUGUGUAUUGGCAUUUCGAGCAUGAGUGUCCACUUUGAGUCUGCAAGUGACCCCAGAGCAUACGGAAGUAUCUCAAACAUCUACAGAUAGCAGAAUCUUCCCCCAUGAGCUGUAGAAGUUGUGCUGGAUGAGUUCAGGGCUUAUUUUGUGUAGGGUGAGUGGAAGAUGCCAUUCCUGGAGGGAAAACCAGCUGCUCUCAAACGUCUUCCCUACACAAAUUUGUUUAGGCCUGCAUCACAAAAGGAGCUUGGACACAAUGGCCUGUGUGAGCCUUUGUCAGAGGAAAGCUGAAUCAUGGUAAAGCAUACAGACAAGGAGGCAUGCACAGUCGAGCCCAGUGUUUGCUGAGUGGUGCUUGCAAGGGUUUUCUUGGGCAGCAUGCUUGUAAAAGGCCUGCAACCAACAGUGAGGUUUCCAAGUAUUCCAGCACUAUCAGAGAGGCUGCUGGUAUCUUGCCUGAGUUUUUGUGCUGUGUUUAUCUCCUCUUUGCUGGGUACAACAGAGCUACGCAGAGCAGAGGUUCAGCACACAGUGAAUAUGUGGUGGUCCUGGGUGUCACGGGGCACUCAGGGCUGGGCAGCGGGAUUAGCAAGAGGGACCCACACAGUGCUGAUGCCACAUUACCCCUCUAUAGUGGCUGCUGGAGCAGCUCGGUGAUGCAGAGUGGCACAAGGAACCACAAGGACCUUUGGUGAGGGAGACCUGGCAGAUCUUCUAUGCUGCUGCUGCUCUGGGGAGACUUGAGAAGCUGAUCUGACCACUAUGAGCUAUCCAGAGGACCAGGCCUACAGAUGAGGCUCAGGUUGAGAAUCACAGAUCACCAGGUUGGAAAAGACCUUCAAGAUUACUGAGAUCAACCGUCAAUCUGACCUACUGAGUCCCAUCACUAAACUGUGUCUGUUAGUGCCACUAGACAAUGACCUUAGUGCAGUGAUUGCCUCCUCUACACAAAGUUUGCUGUAAAAAAUCUUCAUCUAGCACACAUCACGGGCAACUGGUCCUGUUAUCACUUUGGUCCAGGUAUGCCCUCAUCUGCUCAUCACCUCUACCCCUUUUUGUUUUGCUUCGAUUUGCUUUGUUCUGUUUUUUGUAACUCUCUGAGGCAGCUCUCAUGCUUAGAAAAGCCAUCUUCAUGUAAGGAAGAGAGCGCAAAUAGUAUGUCUUUGGUUCCCAUUAAUUUCAUUUUCCAUCAUUCCCACGUGCUGUGGGCUGACCCUUGGUUUGUUUUUGGAAUUAUCUGUCUUCUGUAUUCACAGAAAAGUCUAAUUUGAUUAUCUGCAGACCUAUGACUUUGUAUGCUGUGUUCAGGAGAGAUUCAGUAGUUAAGAGUUGUGGCGUUUUAUGACCUCAUGUGAUGUCUCAGGCAGUGCAUGUGAAUUCACAAUGAGCAGUGACAAAGGGUGCUCUUGCCUAUGUGAAUAUCAGAUUCUGCACUUGUAGCACCAUGAACGUUACUGCUUGUAAGUUCCAUGCAAACAAAACCAGGAAAAUGCCUGGAAAUCUUUUCAGUUCAGAAAUAAUGUCUCUUAGGGCUCUGUGCCAAAGGUUAUAUGGGAAAUUUUACCUUCUUUUUCAUGCGACUUCACUUUGACUGCAACCCAUGCACAUUUCAAAACUAUGCUAACUACACCGAAAAUAAAAAAGACAAAUUAGGUUUGAAGUCGAAAGUA